RNAcentral lists this unclassified non-coding RNA (302 nucleotides) under plant metagenome. RNAcentral describes it as "partial contains small subunit ribosomal RNA, internal transcribed spacer 1, and 5.8S ribosomal RNA". The record is from RNAcentral.
UUUCCGUAGGUGAACCUGCGGAAGGAUCAUUGUCGAAACCUGCCCACCAGAGCGACCCGCGAACUUGUAUAAACAAACGGGGGCGGGGGGCGUUCUCGCCCCGUGCCCCCGAACGGCGGGGAGACACGCGUACCUUCUUGCCGAACAACGAACCCCGGCGCGGUCUGCGCCAGGGAACUUCCACUAAAGAGUGCCUCCGGUCGCCUCGGAAACGGCGUGCGUGCCGGGGGCGAAUCUUGUCCAAAACCAUAACGACUCUCGGCAUCGGACAUCUCGGCUCUCGCCUCGAUGAAGAACGCAGC